Molecule: long non-coding RNA, 691 nt
Organism: Eleginops maclovinus (Patagonian blennie)
Lineage: Eukaryota; Metazoa; Chordata; Actinopteri; Perciformes; Eleginopidae
Exons: 4
Source: RefSeq, a predicted model, not a curated record
CUCAACAAAACACAGGGCGACACUUAGGAGCAAACACCGAGCUGUGAGCAGAGUGCAGUCUGCAGACUUAGUCAUCAUUGGAGCUUGGGACUGGACGUGACACUGGUCUUCUGCUAUUUCACUGCUCAGUUCGUCCAAGAUCAGGAUGGAAAUUCAACGGCUGCUCCUGAGGAUGUGUCCGCAGUGCCACCGUCCUCACCCCGCAGCAACCCCGGCACAGCACAGCACACCCUGUUUGUUUUUCUGCGUUUAUUAAAUCUUCCCCCGGCAGGAAAGCGACCAAUAUCACCACGUCACUGGGAGCUGAGACAUCUAUACUGGAGAGAGGAAGAGAUUUUGGUCGUCUGCCUAUCUCCUCCUCAACAUGGCGCCCCCGAGACCAAGCAAGCAAUGAGAGUACACACACAUACACACUUUUAGCUGCCACCGAGGAGAACAGCUUGGCUCUGUGUUGCACUGAAAACCCCACUUUCCCCUCAAUCAGACAGACAGGUAGACAGCUGGGUGUUACGCUAAAUCCCUUCCCCCAUGUGUGCCUCCUAACAAGGGCUUCGCUCUUCUUGUCACUCUCUUUCUGCUGCUCUCUUUAUUCCACCCCUCUAGAAGCGAGAAAGGAGAGUCAGCUUUGGGACGUAUAAAACUAUGAUAUGAUUGUAAAAUGAAGAGUAGUUUAUGAAUAGUUUAGAGGAGA